AUACGGAGGGUACAAGCGUUAAUCGGAAUUACUGGGCGUAAAGCGCGCGUAGGCGGUUAUUUAAGUCGGAUGUGAAAGCCCCGGGCUCAACCUGGGAAUUGCAUUCGAUACUGGGUAACUAGAGUAUGAGAGAGGGAGGUAGAAUUCCAUGUGUAGCGGUGAAAUGCGUAGAUAUGUGGAGGAAUACCAGUGGCGAAGGCGGCCUCCUGGCUCAAUACUGACGCUGAGGUGCGAAAGCGUGGGGAGCAAACAGGAUUAGAUACCCCGGUAGUCC
Molecule: ribosomal RNA, 274 nt
Filed under: uncultured bacterium
Lineage: Bacteria
Description: partial 16S ribosomal RNA
Rfam family: Bacterial small subunit ribosomal RNA
Source: RNAcentral